Long non-coding RNA from Hyalella azteca, 632 nucleotides. RefSeq lists it as uncharacterized. The record is from RefSeq and is a predicted model, not a curated record. The transcript has 6 exons. Lineage: Eukaryota; Metazoa; Arthropoda; Malacostraca; Amphipoda; Hyalellidae.
AAUAGGUAGCCGUAAUGUCAGGUUGUGACCGUUGUGGUGAUGUUAUUGCACAAAGUCUCUUGACAACUGAUGAGCAAGGCUACACUGCUAUUCAUCGUGCCGUUAUUGCAAACGAUCUUGCAAUUCUGAAGUAACUUCUUCCAUAUGUAGAUAGAAGGUACAUCAACAAGGAGAGCUAUGAUCGAUCCACUGCACUCCUGCUUCUCUGUAAAAGAUUCACCGCUCCAGAGUCUGAGGCAGAAAAGCCUGCUCUGCAAACAGAGGAAGAGAUUCUAGUGAGCCUCCUUGCUGCCGGUGCUGAUCCCAACCUGCCUCAGCCUGAGCCUGUCUCCCUGCCCUUACUGAUCAAAUUUCUACUCUCAUGAAAUAAUCGUUGGUGGCGGGGCGUGGAGCUACUGUUGGAUGCUGGGCGUGGAGCUACUGGCCGUGGAUGUAGAGCACAACCUGCAGCCAGCCAUAUUCUUAGCCAGGGUCAAUGUUGAAAUUCUCAUAAGACUUCUAGAAGAAGGCUGUGCUAACGAUGAGGUCUGCUCGUGGAUUGCUGAUGGAAUUUUCAACAAAGCCCAAGUGAAGAAGCUGGUAGAGGCAGCACACGAGUUCGGACCAGGGUUUGUCACAAAAAGUCUGCUGUA